AAGUAAAAAAUUACAAGUAGACUACUCCGAGAAAUGCGAAGAAAUUGCAGAGAAAAUAAAAGUGGUCUUCUGUUCUCGAAAAAAAGAUAUCUUUUCGGGACAUUAUUUGCCUAUUUAUAGAUCGCCUAUGUUGAUCAGUUAUUUUUCAUCCAUGAUCAGUCACUACUCCUAUUUUUCAGAGUCACUUCCAGCCGAUCGGAACUACUUGUAACCACUUGCGGUUACUGUAAUUCCCCUUAGUUACAUGCGGUGGUUGCUCAAAUUCCUUCCGAUGCUCCCGGUGCA
Molecule: long non-coding RNA, 285 nt
Filed under: Ananas comosus (pineapple)
Lineage: Eukaryota; Viridiplantae; Streptophyta; Magnoliopsida; Poales; Bromeliaceae
Description: long non-coding RNA (ACOM_LNC020157)
Source: RNAcentral